GGACACACCUGGGGCGUUUGAACUUUUCACAGAGGUCGUUGGAACAUUCUGUCGUUAUUCCAGGAGCUGUUAUUUUUUUCCAUGAGAGUUCCGGGAGCGGCCACCUGCAGGGGACGGGAGCACCCAAGGUGACGAGCCCAUGUUCUUAUAGACAGCUAGUAAUUUUUUACUCUUCAGAAGCAAUAUCUGGGAAAUAUUAACAGUGACACAGGUUUUUGUUAUGUGUAAGUGACUGGUGAAAGGUAAAUGAAUUGUAAGGGAUUCUCCUGUGUAGCAUGGGCUGAACAACAAACAAAAUGAAAAGAACUAGCACGGACACCUUCUUAAUGCAGCAAGGAUCCCAAAGUCCUUGAGGACUACAUCUCCGGGUACCAGAAGGCACAAAAGAAGAGAAGAACCCAUCAAUCCUCCCAGCUGAUACCUAUGAAUCACAACAAAGACCUGCAUGGCGUGAUAACACUAUGGGUGCAGUAGUGGCAUGGAUACCUUAGCAGAGCCCUCAUCCAGUGGCUGAUGGAAGCAGAGACAGACAUCCACAAAAAUAUACUCAACUGAACUCUGGAACUUCGUUGAAGAGAGUGAGGAAUGAAGAUCGAAUGGAUUGGUAUCAGGUUGGAGAAACCCACAGAAACAGAUGGCCUGAACAAGGAGGAGUACAUCGACUCCAGAUGUUGUCUGGGAGGUCAGUACAGGACUGAUCCAGACCCCUGAACAUGGAUGUCAAUGAGGAGGCCUCAGCACUCCAUGGGGCCCCUAGUAGUGGAUUAGUAUUUUCUCCUGGUGUAAGAAUGGACUUUGAGAGCCCAUCCCAUGUGAAAGGAUGCACUCUUAUCCCUGGACACAUGGGGAAGGGCCCAGGCCCAGCCCAGGAUGAUGUGGUGGACUUUUUGGAUCCCCCGUUGAGGGCCCUACUCUGCCUGGUGGAGUGGUGGAUGGACAGGGUGUCGGGUAGUCGGGUGUGGGGGAAUAUUGAUGGGGGUGUGGGGAGGCAGAGGGAGACGGGAUU
This 1006-nucleotide long non-coding RNA is filed under the name Cricetulus griseus (Chinese hamster). Its description in RNAcentral is "lncRNA (ENSCGRG00015038172.1)". Lineage: Eukaryota; Metazoa; Chordata; Mammalia; Rodentia; Cricetidae. The record is from RNAcentral.